UGAUUUCAAAGAAAUGAUAUCAGUUCGAGUUUAAAGCUUGUGAAGUUUUCUUUCAUUGUGUUUUACAGUUUCCUUACAACUCUGAUAAAUUGUAAUGCAAUUAACAAAAAUCGUGUCUGUCGUUUUCUUCAUUACUCUUUUUGCUUUCAUUGGUCUAAACAUGGCUCAAGCACAAGGGAUGGACGCAACCGAGGGCCGAACCAAAUCUGCUAAAGAGGCACUCGGUGAUGAUCCUAUGCAAAGUGCAUCCGGUAUUGGACUCGAUGGUAAACGGCCACAGGAAGACGGUGGUCUUUUCCGAUGAUGUAACUCGGGUAUUCAACUAAGAGAAUCAUGAAUGAAUUGGACAUUAUAUUUUGUGACAAUUAAGGACAGCUUUUAUAUUGAAUUGAUGAAAUAAGAUCAUUUAAUCUUUUUAUCUGUUUUUAUUUAAACAAUAAUUACCCAAGCAUUUCUUUGAUUUGACCAGAUUUCUGAGCCUCAUGAACUUUUGUUUUGAUUUUUUACUCUGACCUUUGCCCACCAUCAUUAGAAAUAUGUGCCGAUAACUCGAGAGCUAUAAGUCAGACCUUUAAGUUGUCCAGUCAGUAUAGUUCUCAAUAGAUAUUAAUAAAAAAUCUCAAGUUCAUUCA
Molecule: long non-coding RNA, 632 nt
Organism: Tetranychus urticae (two-spotted spider mite)
Lineage: Eukaryota; Metazoa; Arthropoda; Arachnida; Trombidiformes; Tetranychidae
Source: RefSeq, a predicted model, not a curated record